This 451-nucleotide ribosomal RNA is filed under the name uncultured bacterium. Its description in RNAcentral is "bacterial SSU rRNA". It matches the Rfam family "Bacterial small subunit ribosomal RNA", at positions 329 to 793 of the family's 1533-position model. The record is from RNAcentral.
UUCCAGACUCCUACGGGAGGCAGCAGUGGGGAAUAUUGGACAAUGGGGGGAACCCUGAUCCAGCGACGCCGCGUGAGUGAAGAAGUAUUUCGGUAUGUAAAGCUCUAUCAGCAGGGAAGAAAGAAAUGACGGUACCUGACUAAGAAGCCCCGGCUAACUACGUGCCAGCAGCCGCGGUAAUACGUAGGGGGCAAGCGUUAUCCGGAUUUACUGGGUGUAAAGGGAGCGUAGACGGAAUUGCAAGUCUGAUGUGAAAAUCCGGGGCCCAACCCCGGAACUGCAUUGGAAACUGUAUUUCUAGAGUGUCGGAGAGGCAAGUGGAAUUCCUGGUGUAGCGGUGAAAUGCGUAGAUAUCAGGAGGAACACCAGUGGCGAAGGCGGCUUGCUGGACGAUGACUGACGUUGAGGCUCGAAAGCGUGGGGAGCAAACAGGAUUAGAUACCCGUGGACA